CCUACGGGAGGCUGCAGUGGGGAAUAUUGCACAAUGGGCGCAAGCCUGACGCAGCCAUGCCGCGUGUGUGAAGAAGGCCUUCGGGUUGUAAAGCACUUUCAGCGGGGAGGAAGGCGGUGAGGUUAAUAACCUCAUCGAUUGACGUUACCCGCAGAAGAAGCACCGGCUAACUCCGUGCCAGCAGCCGCGGUAAUACGGAGGGUGCAAGCGUUAAUCGGAAUUACUGGGCGUAAAGCGCACGCAGGCGGUCUGUCAAGUCGGAUGUGAAAUCCCCGGGCUCAACCUGGGAACUGCAUUCGAAACUGGCAGGCUAGAGUCUUGUAGAGGGGGGUAGAAUUCCAGGUGUAGCGGUGAAAUGCGUAGAGAUCUGGAGGAAUACCGGUGGCGAAGGCGGCCCCCUGGACAAAGACUGACGCUCAGGUGCGAAAGCGUGGGGAGCAAACAGGAUUAGAUACCCCUGUAGUC
RNAcentral lists this ribosomal RNA (465 nucleotides) under uncultured Klebsiella sp. RNAcentral describes it as "bacterial SSU rRNA". It matches the Rfam family "Bacterial small subunit ribosomal RNA", at positions 338 to 795 of the family's 1533-position model. Lineage: Bacteria; Pseudomonadati; Pseudomonadota; Gammaproteobacteria; Enterobacterales; Enterobacteriaceae. The record is from RNAcentral.